UACGUAGGGUGCGAGCGUUGCCCGGAUUUAUUGGGCGUAAAGGGCGCGUAGGCGGCUACGCACGUCCGUUGUGAAAUCGCCCGGCUCAACUGGGCGGGGUCGGCGGAUACGGCGUAGCUUGAGCAAGCUAGGGGGCAAUGGAAUUCCCGGUGUAGUGGUGGAAUGCGUAGAUAUCGGGAGGAACACCAGUGGCGAAGGCAGCUCACUACAGAGUCAUUGACGCUGAGGCACGAAAGCGUGGGGAGCAAACAGG
This 253-nucleotide ribosomal RNA is filed under the name uncultured bacterium. RNAcentral's name for it is "partial 16S ribosomal RNA". It matches the Rfam family "Bacterial small subunit ribosomal RNA", at positions 524 to 776 of the family's 1533-position model. The record is from RNAcentral.